This 477-nucleotide ribosomal RNA is filed under the name uncultured bacterium. Its description in RNAcentral is "partial 16S ribosomal RNA". It matches the Rfam family "Bacterial small subunit ribosomal RNA", at positions 28 to 507 of the family's 1533-position model. The record is from RNAcentral.
GAUUAACGCUGGCGGCGUGCAUAACACAUGCAAGUCGAACGAUGAAACUUAACUGAUUUCUUCGGAAUGAUUUUAAGUGGAUUAGUGGCGGACGGGUGGGUAACGCGUGAGUAACCUGCCUUGGAGAAGGGGAUAGCCUUUGGAAACGAAGAAUAAUACCCUAUGAUAUGAUAAUAUCUCAUGAUAUUAUCAUCAAAGAUUUAUCGCUCUAAGAUGGACUUGCGUCUGAUUAGUUAGUUGGUGAGGUAACAGCUCACCAAGGCAGCGAUCAGUAGCCGGCUUGAGAGAGUGUACGGCCACAUUGGGACUGAGACACGGCCCAGACUCCUACGGGAGGCAGCAGUGGGGAAUUUUGCACAAUGGGGGAAACCCUGAUGCAGCGACGCCGCGUGAUUUAGAAGGCCUUCGGGUUGUAAAAAUCUUUUGUAUGGGAAGAAAAUGACAGUAUCAUACGAAUAAGGACCGGCUAAUUACGUG